RNAcentral lists this small RNA (251 nucleotides) under Kluyvera ascorbata. RNAcentral's name for it is "Erse small RNA". It matches the Rfam family "Erse small RNA". The record is from RNAcentral. Lineage: Bacteria; Pseudomonadati; Pseudomonadota; Gammaproteobacteria; Enterobacterales; Enterobacteriaceae.
CGGCCGAGCUGCUUGCGCCCUAUACCGGCGAUAUCGCCGCCGAGGGCGUCAGCAAACUGCUGCGCGGCGGGGCGAAGUGCUUACAGCACGGUCUGGCGCGUCAGCAGCGCUAUGUGGCUGAAACGCUGACCGAAGAGUGGCGUCUGGCGCCGGGUGCCCUGGAAGUUGCCUGGUUUGCGGAAGAGACGGCGGCGGUCGAGCGUGAGCUUGCGGCGCUGACCAAACGGUUGGAAAAACUGGAGGGGAAAUGA